GUCGUCCCGCCCCUCUCAGCGCCCCCUCCUGGCUGGGUGGGGGCCCCUCUUGGCUGAGCUGGGGUGCCCCCCCUCCCCACCCAAGGCCGGCCCUUUCCUGUGGAGUCAUCUCACCGCCCUGCGCACCCACUCGUAACUCGCACCCGGGUCCUGGCUGCGCCGCAUCCUCUCCUGCACCCCCUGGAUGGCCCUUCAGCCAAAGGGGGCCUGGGUGAUGGUCGACCACCGAGCUGCGGAAGGAAAAGUCCCGGGAUGCGGCCCGCAGCCGGCGCAGCCAGGAGACCGAGGUGCUGUACCAGCUGGCUCACACGCUGCCCUUCGCCCGCGGCGUCAGCGCCCACCUGGACAAGGCCUCUAUCAUGCGCCUCACCAUCAGUUACCUGCGCAUGCACCGCCUCUGCGCCGCAGGUGAGCCCCGCCCGCGGGAAUUCCCGUCUUGGUCAGGCCCCGCCCACGGAAAAACUACAUCCCCUCCUCCGGGAAGCCUUAUUCCGA
RNAcentral lists this small RNA (495 nucleotides) under Pongo abelii (Sumatran orangutan). RNAcentral describes it as "retained intron". Lineage: Eukaryota; Metazoa; Chordata; Mammalia; Primates; Hominidae. The record is from RNAcentral.